GGGUAUUUUAUAACAAAUUAUUUUGGUAAUUUAAGUUAAUUUUUUUAAAUAAAGUUUUUAAUGAGUUUUAACAAAAAAAAAAAAAAAAAAAAAAAGAACUUACAAGUAUAUUUUCAUAUUUUAUUUUAUAAAUUUUCCAGAGAUUAGUCUCCUAGUUAAACCCUAAUACCCUAAAUUAUAUAUACCCUUGUACCCUCAAAAAAUUUCCUACGUGAUUCUCAAAGAAAAAGAAAAUUCAUCUCCCUAAAAACACUUCUGCCGCCAUCUCCCGUUCAUUGAUUCUGAGGAAGACUACUUAGGAACCACGCAAGGAGACUACUAGUUUGAGUACGUGCGCGUUCAAGGUUGGUAAAGGUACUUAGCUACGAGUGAGGAGACGCUUAGAUUAACCACCUAGUCAGGAGACAAUUUCUAUUGAUUAAUAUUUUGGAUUUGUUCUUUAUUUUUAUGGGAUUUGGUUGUAAUAUUUUGUUGGCCACCUUUAGACCACUUAGUUAAUUUUGACUUUAAUGGUUUUAAAUUGUUUUGUUGGUUUGCAUUUAUUUUCUAUGGAGAAUAAAUGUAGCAGUGACGC
Molecule: long non-coding RNA, 574 nt
Organism: Spinacia oleracea (spinach)
Lineage: Eukaryota; Viridiplantae; Streptophyta; Magnoliopsida; Caryophyllales; Amaranthaceae
Exons: 3
Source: RefSeq, a predicted model, not a curated record